Molecule: long non-coding RNA, 1447 nt
Organism: Dreissena polymorpha
Lineage: Eukaryota; Metazoa; Mollusca; Bivalvia; Myida; Dreissenidae
Exons: 3
Source: RefSeq, a predicted model, not a curated record
UAAAUAUAUGAAAUGGUAAGAUCACAUGUAAGAGUCUCGAAUUCAUAAACAAAUCAUGUGGAUAAAAGUAAAAUGUAUAUGUAUUUGAAUGUCUACUGUUAAGAGUCUUUGUUCAAAAUUAAUAGAUGAAAUCGUGUUUCUUUCACCAUGAAACGUGCGUGUUUAUAUCAGCUACAUGUUGUAUUUCAAUUCAAGUGAAUUUAAUGCAGCAUCGCUUAAAUAAAAUCUACUUGGACCGCUAGCACUUUGAUUAAAGGCAUAGAGAUGGCGCAAUCAGACACAACAAACGAGGGAUUUCUGUCAUAUUUACACUUAAAAGUUGUGCGCAAAAUCUUAAGACGUUUGUUGGAACAUGCUGUUGCGAGGGAAAAUCCUAAGUGGACAAUAGAUCACUUUUUAUAUCACCACAUUCGUAGAAUUAUCGAAGAGGUAAUUGGUCGCGAAAAUGUGCAGCACUUGUUUCCUCGCUUACUUGAAAACGCCGACGUUGACAAUUGGACAUUGUUCCUUUUUCCUUUUCUAAUACUUCACAUAACUGAUUAUGAAUCGCUUUCUGAGGACAUUACGGAUAUUGUUCGCCAGUUGAAUCAAAGCAGAACGGAACUUUACUGCCGAAUAGUCGUAGGUGUAAGUGACGAAUACGUUCACGAGCACGUAAGAAAUCUCAAACAAGCAAUUCAGCAAAUUUGUGAGGGUAUACACGACGCUCCAUUAUGUGAAGAAGCAGAAGGACAAAUAAGGAAUGCUCGUGAACAAGUGCGCAUUACAUGUGGAAUUGAUUAUUUGCAAGUGUUUAAAGUGUGUCAAGAAACUGAAAAUAUCUAUCGACCGAGAAUUACUGAAUUUACUCCAGAUCAAGAACGACUACAUGAAUGCAUCCAACAGAACAUACUGAGUGCCCAACAGAAAACAGAACCAGGUGUGCUACCAUGUGUUUGAAUUAACAAAUUAAAAAAUGUGUGCCUUGCAUUACUAGUGUGUGUUAAAUUACUGUGUUCGUCUUGUGCGCUUCAAGAAUUAGGAGUUUUAAUCUAUGAAACAAUAUAGACGAUUAUAACAUAUACUUCCAGACAUAUCCUUAGUAAAACUUCAAUACUACAACUGAACAGGUAUGAAUAACGUGCGCAAUAAUUGGUUUCCUUGUUUCCAAACCAAUACUUAAAGUAUUUUGACGAAGGCGAGCGAAACAUUCAUACUUAAUUUGCUUUGUAAUACCAAGUGACCUUGUCAAAUCAUCCCUGUACAAAAAAAAUCAUCUACAAACCAUAUUUGUGAUUUAAUUGUCUGUUAGCGCAACAUGAAGAAGCAAAUAGACGCAUUAUCAACAUAAAAUAUUAUCGUCACUUGGAUAAUCUUGAAGCAGGUUGAACUAUCACUGAUUUGUUUAAUGCAUUUACAUUUCUAAACUGAACUGAACUUAAACUAAAUUAAAAGUAUCUCAUGUUUA